UACAGGGGGUGCAAACGUUGCUCGGAAUCAUUGGGCGUAAAGCGCACGUAGGCGGUUUGUUAUGUCGGAUGUGAAAGCCCUUGGCUCAACUGAGGAAGUGCAUCCGAAACUGGCAAGCUAGAGUACUAAAGAGGAUCGCGGAAUUCCCGGUGUAGAGGUGAAAUUCGUAGAUAUCGGGAGGAACACCGGUGGCGAAGGCGGCGAUCUGGGUAGAUACUGACGCUGAGGAGCGAAAGCAUGGGGAGCGAACAGG
This 253-nucleotide ribosomal RNA is filed under the name uncultured bacterium. RNAcentral's name for it is "partial 16S ribosomal RNA". It matches the Rfam family "Bacterial small subunit ribosomal RNA", at positions 524 to 776 of the family's 1533-position model. The record is from RNAcentral.